Molecule: ribosomal RNA, 406 nt
Filed under: uncultured bacterium
Lineage: Bacteria
Description: partial 16S ribosomal RNA
Rfam family: Bacterial small subunit ribosomal RNA
Source: RNAcentral
AUUGAACGCUGGCGGCAGGCCUAACACAUGCAAGUCGAACGAGAGGCGGACGGGUGAGUAAGGUCUGGGAAACUGCCUGAUGGAGGGGGAUAACGACUGGAAACGGUAGCUAAUACCGCAUACCAUCAGAUGGGCCCAGAUGGGAUUAGCUGGUUGGUGGGGUAACGGCGCACCAAGGCGACGAUCGCUAGCUGGCCUGAGAGGAUGACCCGCCACACUGGAACUGAGACACGGUCCAGACUCCUACGUGAGGCAGCAGUGGGGAAUAUUGCACAAUGGGCGCAAGCCUGAUGCAGCCAUGCCGCGUGUAUGAAGAAGGUCUUCGGGUUGUAAAGGACUUUCAGCGGGGAGGCGUUACCCGCAGAAGAAGCACCGGCUAACUCCGUGCCAGCCGCCGCGGUAAUUC